RNAcentral lists this ribosomal RNA (1242 nucleotides) under metagenome. RNAcentral's name for it is "bacterial LSU rRNA". It matches the Rfam family "Bacterial large subunit ribosomal RNA", at positions 1564 to 2815 of the family's 2925-position model. The record is from RNAcentral.
UGAAUACGAGACGCUAAGGCGUCGAAGUAGUGUAUGUCAUACUUCCAAGAAAAGCUUGCACUGUUAUAGAUAAAAAACGCCUGUACCAUAACCGACACAGGUGGGUAGGUAGAGUAUACUAAGGGGCGCGAGAUAACUCUCUCUAAGGAACUCGGCAAAAUAACUCCGUAACUUCGGGAGAAGGAGUGCCUUAUUCGUAAGGUUGCAAUAACAAGAUCCAAGCAACUGUUUAUCAAAAACACAGGUCUCCGCUAAGUCGUAAGACGAUGUAUGGGGGCUGACGCCUGCCCAGUGCCAGAAGGUUAAAGAAGUUGGUUAGCAAUUGCGAAGCUGAUAACUGAAGCCCUGGUGAACGGCGGCCGUAACGAUAACGGUCCUAAGGUAGCGAAAUUCCUUGUCGGGUAAGUUCCGACCCGCACGAAAGGCGUAAUGAUUUGGAUACUGUCUCGGAGAGGGGCUCGGUGAAAUAGACUUGUCUGUGAAGAUGCGGACUACCUGCACCAGGACAGAAAGACCCUAUGAAGCUUUACUGUAACUUGAAAUUGAAAUUGGACUUUAUUCGCGCAGUAUAGGUGGGAGGCGUUGAUUAUAAUCUUGUGGGAUUAUUGGAGCCAUCAGUGAGAUACCACUCUUGUAAUGUUAGAUUUCUAACUUUGAAUCAUUAUCUGGUCAAAGAACAGUUUCAGGCGGGCAGUUUGACUGGGGCGGUCGCCUCCUAAACGGUAACGGAGGCGUGCAAAGGUUUCCUCUGAACGGUUAGAAAUCGUAUCUAGAGUGUAAAGGCAUAAGGAAGCUUGACUGUGAGACCUACAAGUCGAGCAGGGACGAAAGUCGGUCUUAGUGAUCUGACGGUACUGAGUGGAAAGGCCGUCACUCAACGGAUAAAAGUUACUCUAAGGAUAACAGGCUGAUCUCCCCCAAGAGUUCACAUCGACGGGGAGGUUUGGCACCUCGAUGUCGGCUCAUCGCAUCCUGGGGCGGUAGUACGUCCCAAGGGUUGGGCUGUUCGCCCAUGAAAGCGGUACGCGAGCUGGGUUCAGAACGUCGUGAGACAGUUCGGUCCAUAUCCGGUGUAGGCGUUAGAAUAUUGAGAGGAGCCUUCUUUAGUACGAGAGGACCGAGAAGGACAUACCUCUGGUGUACCAGUUAUCGUGCCAACGGUAAACGCUGGGUAGCUAUGUAUGGAGUGGAUAACCGCUGAAAGCAUCUAAGUGGGAAGCCCACCUCAAGAUAAGUAUUCUC